Long non-coding RNA from Oncorhynchus tshawytscha (Chinook salmon), 1580 nucleotides. The record is from Ensembl. Lineage: Eukaryota; Metazoa; Chordata; Actinopteri; Salmoniformes; Salmonidae.
GGAGUAUGUGUAAAUGUACUUGGCGAAUAGGUCAUUAUCAAAAACGUCAUGAAGACAAUAUUCUAUUUUUUUGCUGGUGGGCAGCUUCAAACUACAUUUCAAUGGAAGCUAAUGUUGCUAGAUAUGGUAGAGAUGGCGGUGUCAGAAUACUUAAAAAGGGCUCAAUACGAGGAAAGAGACAGGUGAACCAAUAGCAGCAAAUGUCAGGCCCUGCUUUGAGGACCUAGGUGAUGGUGAAGGCAGAUGGAGAGGUGAUGUGGCAGGCUAAGGUGUAUGGCAGGGUUGGCAGAGUCAUGUUACCAUGUUGGAGCCCUGUUAUACGCAGUGGAGGAAGGCGACCCCAUGCGAGAAUCGGUCACAUGCACGAUGGAACGGAGCAGCUGGCUGAUGCUUGCACAUGUAAAAAAGAUACCAGCAGCCCCUGUAGCCAACAUCGAUUUCUUAUCUGCAAGGGCUAAGAAGAGGAGGAUGGACCAGGCAGGUUGUACAAUGGAGCAGGCAACAUCAUCUCUGUCUUGGCCUCCCAUUGUGAGUGGAUCGACAAUACUAGGAUUUUUUUUUAAAACGAAACCAAAAUGCUCCAAAAAACGUUGCUCUGAUGUUAUGCAGGUGUGUUAUUCUUUUUGAUUCUUUCUAUUAUUUUGAAUUGAACUUUGUCGGCAGGGGACAUAUUUUCCCAUUCUAAUUGUCCUUUGAGGCCAGAAUUUACGGAUUAUAUAACAAAAUGUACAUUACACAGGCUUUGUGCCCAAGUCAACAACAAAAGCACUGCCACCCUCCAUCAUGGGCUGUGCAGUUGACUCCACAACUGUGGACGACCUAUGCACAAUGACUGAAAGCCAAAUAGAGACAGUGGAGGAGGAGACAAGAAGCCAGUCUAAAUCCAAGAUCUGGUUCAGACAGCGAGCCGGACAAAUCAUUACCUCCUGCACACUGAUCCUAACAACCCUUCCAAUAGUCUUUCAAACAGCAUCAGCUACCCAGAGAAAAUUAGGUGGGAAGUAUCAAUUGAUAGAUUUAUCUCCUGAAUGUACUGAUUUGAAGUUAAAUAAAUCCCAAGAUCAAUUGCAUUCGUUACAAUAUGUCCCUGGAAGUCCCUUUAUAAAAGUGAAUGAAUUAGAAAAGAUAGCUUUUUAUGUUGUGGAGACCUUUAUAAUAUCUGUGUUGUGUUUGUUGUAGUCAUGGUUACAGGUUAUAGACAUGAAGCUGAUGCCAAACAGUAUGCAGAGGUCAUGUCCCUUGAACAUGAGAACUUUGUGGUCCAUGGCAGUGGCCUUCAGCUGAUGCCAAUUAGUCAUACAUAGGUGCCACACCUGAUGGGUUCCCUCAUUGUUACUCCUGGUGCAGGAGUCUGUGAGAUUAAGGUAAGAACGUAUACCAUACUCAAGGUAUGGUAGUGAACCACACUUAAAUGGGCAAUCAGAAGAUGAAACUAUAAUAAAUAGUUAUCCAACCCACAAAAGUUUAACUAAGCUCAUGAGGCAUUUAUAAGUUGCAGUAUAUUCUUCAAUGAUCAAUGGUUACUAGGGUUGAGUAUUUCCCAGGCAUUUUACAAAUGUUCCACCCUGAGAAUAAAUCAC